RNAcentral lists this long non-coding RNA (1134 nucleotides) under Homo sapiens (human). RNAcentral describes it as "HSALNT0245163". The record is from RNAcentral. Lineage: Eukaryota; Metazoa; Chordata; Mammalia; Primates; Hominidae.
CUUUCCUUCUCAGAGCCUCUUAUAAAACAGUGUCUGUACUUUCUUUUUUCUUCUUUUCUUUUUUCUUUCUUUCUUUCUUUUUUUUUUUCUAAUACACGGUUUCGCUCUCUAACCUGGACUGGAGUAAAGUGGCGUGAUCUUGGCUCACUGCAAACCUCCACCUCCCAGGCUCGCGUGAUUCUCCUCCUCAGUCUCCUGAGUAGUUGAGAUUACAGGCACACGCCACUACCGCCCAGGGAAUUUUUGUAUUUUUAGUAGAGACGGGGUUUCGCCAUGUUGGCCAGGUUGGUCUCGAACUCCUGACCUCAAGUGAUCCACCCGACUUGGCCUCCCAAAGUGCUGGGAUUCCAGGCAUGAGCCACCGCGCCCGGCCACCAUCUGCAUUUUCUGACUCUGUUUCCUCAUCUGUCAUUUACUCUGUAGUCAAGCCCACCUGUCUUCUCUGCUCACCACUCUACAGACAUGCCCUUGACGAGGGAACCAACAACCUUACUGUCAGUCAAAUCCAAAUGCAUCUUCUCUUUCUGCAUCUUACUUGACCUCAGCAGCCCUUGACUCGGCUGAGCACUUCUUCCUCCCUUCUUUCUCCUUUCUUUGCUUUCAGACUAUCUCAGUCAGCUCAGGCUGCUAUAACAAAGAUACCACAGAUUGGGUGGCUCACACAAAAGAAAUUCAUUUCUCCCAGUUCUGGUGGCUGGAAGUUCAAGAUCAAGAUGCUGGCUGAAUCAGUUCCUGGUCUUGUAUACCAGUGAAACUACUGAUGCCAGCUGGUCUAGAGGAAUCCAAGAGAAGCUGAUUCACCAAAGAAGGCUGUUUCCAGAUCAUGAUGAUUUCAUCCAUCCUACCUUGACCAAUCAAUGAUCCCAAUUUUCCAGUUACUUGCCCUCUACAAUCCCCUUAAAAGUCCCAGCCCAGAACUUCUCAGGGAGAUGGAUUUGAGGGUCCCUCCCAACUCCUUGCUUGGUUACCCUGUGAUCAUUAAACUCUUUCUCUGCUGCAAACCCUGUUGUCUUGGUGUAUUGGUUUGUUCCAGUGCAAUGGGCAUAUGAACUCGUUGGUCCUGUAACAAACUCUGCUGUUGUAGCAUGAAAGCUGCCAUAGAUAAUACAUAAAUGAACAUGUGUAGCUGUAUUC